AUUGAACGCUGGCGGCAUGCUUUACACAUGCAAGUCGAACGGGGUGAGGGGGCAACUCCUCAUUCAGUGGCGAACGGGAGAGUAAUGCAUCGGAACGUGUCCCGUAGUGGGGGAUAACGCCGGGAAACCGGCGCUAAUACCGCAUAUGCUCUACGGAGGAAAGUGGGGGACCGCAAGGCCUCACGCUAUGGGAGCGGCCGAUGUCCGAUUAGCUUGUUGGCGGGGUAAAGGCCCACCAAGGCGACGAUCGGUAGCUGGUCUGAGAGGAUGAUCAGCCACACUGGGACUGAGACACGGCCCAGACUCCUACGGGAGGCAGCAGUGGGGAAUUUUGGACAAUGGGGGCAACCCUGAUCCAGCCAUGCCGCGUGCGGGAAGAAGGCCUUCGGGUUGUAAACCGCUUUUAGCCGGAAAGAAAAGGCACGCCCUAAUACGGCGUGUUCUUGACGGUACCGGCGGAAUAAGCACCGGCUAACUACGUGCCAGCCGCCGCCGUAA
This 498-nucleotide ribosomal RNA is filed under the name uncultured bacterium. Its description in RNAcentral is "partial 16S ribosomal RNA". It matches the Rfam family "Bacterial small subunit ribosomal RNA", at positions 29 to 523 of the family's 1533-position model. The record is from RNAcentral.